AUAUCGGUAAUCACCUGAACUAAGAAUAAUUUUAAAAAUUGUAAUUAAUGAAAAUAAAACAAAACAGAAAAAAGAAAUGAUCCUUUCAUGUCAACCUUAUGAAAGCAGAACAUACAGAUAUCUGCUUAUUCUAUACUUUGAAAAUCAUUGAGAAGCGCCACAGUUAAUAACAUUAAAAUAAAUCAAAACUUAAUUUUUUUUUUCUUCUUUUUAGGGCCACAUGAGCGGUGUAUGGAAUUUCCCAGGCUAGGGGUCAGUCGGAGCUGCAGCUGCCAUUCUAUGCCACAGCCACAGCAAAGCUGGAUCCUUAACCCACUGAGUCAGGCCAGGGAUCCAGCCAGCAUCCUCAUGGAUACUAGGUGGGGUUCGUUACUGCUGAGCUACAAUGGGAACUCCAAAACUUUAUCAAUAUUUAAAGCAUUAAACGAGGAAAUGUAAAGCAUUCUUCAGUUCAGUGGUAGAAAAGGUAUAAUGCUAGAUUUUAAAGAGAGAAAAAUUUUGGUUCUGCCCCAUAGUUGAUGUGCAAAGGGUGAACACGUUAAUAGUCACUAUUAUUCGAAAACUCUUGGUUAAAACCAGUUUUGAGUAUUGCCUCUCAGAAGAGUCGGAGUUGGUGUGACAGUGUGCACGGAUGGGGGAGGGGCAGCGAGUCACCUUGUAUGGGGCCGCCGAAGCCCUCUUCAACGUGGAGAUCUUGGUUUUGUGUGUUCUGGCCUUUUAAAUCACAACCUCUCCUCUGCACAGUGGACCUAGUAUUUGCAGGUCCUCCUUUGGACAGAAUUAUAGGUGGCCCAUGACGAGUUUCUCUGACCAAAUUCAUUUCGUACAAUUUUGCUGUGGUUCCCCCUCCAUGUCCCUAACGAUGUACCCAGAUGCCCCAGAAUAAAGGGUAGAGGCCUUCCGUUCCUCAUCCCUCACGAAACCUGCCCAAAGAGACAGGUUUAACCGGAGGAAAUGGAUGCAUGCUGUGUGUAAAGCAUUUUUAUUGACAUGAGGGUAAAAUCCUGGAAUGUUUUGCGGAAAGAUCAUAAAAUCUUCCCUUUGGAGACUUUUCAAACCGCAGCACAUUCCCAGUUGGAGAUGGUGCUAGCACGACUCUGCCUAAGGCAAGGGAAAGGCAAGAUGAGUACGAUAAGACCUAUCACUUGUGGUUGCCGAGGAGGAGGGGGAGGGAGUGGGAUGGAUAGGGAGCUUGAGGUUAAUAGAUGCCUACUAUUGCCUUUGGAAUGGAUUAGCAAUGAAAUCCUCUUGUGUAGCACUACUGGGAACUAUGUGUAGUCACAUAAUAGGAACAUGAUAAUGUGAGAAAAAGAAUGUGUACAUGUAUGUGUAACUGAGUUACCAUGCUGU
Molecule: long non-coding RNA, 1350 nt
Filed under: Sus scrofa (pig)
Lineage: Eukaryota; Metazoa; Chordata; Mammalia; Artiodactyla; Suidae
Description: lncRNA (ENSSSCG00035056980.1)
Source: RNAcentral